Molecule: unclassified non-coding RNA, 837 nt
Filed under: Hevea brasiliensis (rubber tree)
Lineage: Eukaryota; Viridiplantae; Streptophyta; Magnoliopsida; Malpighiales; Euphorbiaceae
Source: RNAcentral
CAAAGAGUACACCAUCACAUGGAAAUUAACUAUAUUAACGAACGAUUAAAUAGCCACCAAGCAAACCUCGCAACAUAUACACACUUGUGCUUGAAAGGCCCAAUCAUGUAUAGAAUAGGGUCAACCAUUCCUACUGGUUUCAGUGGAAAUCAAGAUCCAUGUAAUUGCAGAUCUUAUAAAUCAAUAGAAAGCUUCUUCCACCAUUAGAUACUUCUUGGCUUUGGCUGCUUUGAGUUCUCUAAUUUUGAGGGUAUGCACUGCAGGAAAUGAUGGGCAUUUGUAAUUGUUGCAGUGAAGCGGCAAGAAAUUCUAGGUGCACAUCACCUGGUUACUGUGAAGAGAGAAGUUAUUAGGAGAUUAGGGUAAAGAGAGGCAUGGCAUUGGGGAAAACCAGAAGAGUAAGAAUAAAACAUUCGCUAGUCAGCAAGUUGCGAGUAGCAAAAAUUCAACUUGAUGUAUCAUAUUGGUUUGGUUCUUGGCAGUUACUCCCACCGUUCUGGUGUUAAUGUCACAGGAUGAAAAGACCUUCCCAAUUGGUUCAAAAUCAGGGCUAGACAAGUUAAUUGUGAGGUUUCUCAUCAAUAACAAAACAGUUUCAAAAUUUAUAGGGUCCAUUUCUUCGAGCUUUUUCACAUGACCUGUGGUGUCUGGAUCAAAGACACUCCCAAUGAAACUAUAUACUUCAGCAAAAUCUGGUAAACCAUGAAGCACAGGAGCCUGUUUCCCUUGUUUUGGUAUCUCAGAACUUGGCCGUGUUCUACUUAAGGUCCCCAGGCCACUAACAUUAUUGUUACUUAUCCAUGCUAUCCCCUUUGAUCCAAUAUCAGCUUCAGCUCC